CCUACGGGAGGCAGCAGUGGGGAAUAUUGCACAAUGGGCGGAAGCCUGAUGCAGCGACGCCGCGUGAGGGAUGACGGCCUUCGGGUUGUAAACCUCUUUCGACAGGGACGAAGCUUUUGUGACGGUACCUGUAUAAGAAGCACCGGCUAACUACGUGCCAGCAGCCGCGGUAAUACGUAGGGUGCGAGCGUUGUCCGGAAUUACUGGGCGUAAAGAGCUCGUAGGUGGUUUGUCGCGUCGUCUGUGAAAUUCCGGGGCUUAACUCCGGGCGUGCAGGCGAUACGGGCAUAACUUGAGUGCUGUAGGGGAGACUGGAAUUCCUGGUGUAGCGGUGAAAUGCGCAGAUAUCAGGAGGAACACCGAUGGCGAAGGCAGGUCUCUGGGCAGUAACUGACGCUGAGGAGCGAAAGCAUGGGGAGCGAACAGGAUUAGAUACCCCAGUAGUC
Molecule: ribosomal RNA, 446 nt
Filed under: uncultured Corynebacterium sp.
Lineage: Bacteria; Bacillati; Actinomycetota; Actinomycetes; Mycobacteriales; Corynebacteriaceae
Description: bacterial SSU rRNA
Rfam family: Bacterial small subunit ribosomal RNA
Source: RNAcentral